CGUAACAUCCAGACGUCUCCGAAGAAGUCUUAACAUUUUUUCCUGUGAUAUAAAGACGUUUUUUCCUUCCUUCAGGCAUUGAAUUAAGCCUCUGAAAGAACAUAGACUAAAGAGUUAACGAAGGAUCUACUUACCUUUGAAGAUACUAUUUCAUGAGAUCGCUUGAUAAAUGAACGAUAGAUAUUUUAUUCACUUUUACGAUUUUACAUUUAUAUGUCUGAACUGUGCACUUGGAAACUAAGUGGGAAACCAGCCAACCGUAAAUAUGUCUAAAUUUGACGAUUUACUCCAGCAACUCGGUACAGGGAAAUGGAACCUGUUGAUCGUGAUCUCUGUGGGUUAUUGGGUGUUCCAAAUACCCUGCCACAGCAUGGGGGCGGCCUUCCUCACCCCAGACUUGAACUUCAGCUGUCGAAUCCCUCCUGAAGCAAAUGUCGAUAUUCAGGCGGAUAAUGAGACAAGGUGACUGAUCCUUAUUCUCUCACCGGUGUGUCUCUCAUUUUAAGUAAUUACGGCAAACACAUGCAUUAGAAAUCAAUAUGAAAGGGAAUUUACUACUUGACAAAAAUGAUUGGUAUAAUGCAUACCCUAACUUAAAUCUGUGUCUUUAUUCCUGUUCAGUGACAUCAAACCGUGCAUAAAUAACAUGAGAUGUGAUUUUUAAAAUUUGCUUUUCAAUGAAAUUUCGUUCUGAAAAAUACAUUUACAUGCAUUGUCAGCACUCUAAUAAAGCAAUAUUGAUAACUUUA
This is a long non-coding RNA of Penaeus monodon (black tiger shrimp), 749 nucleotides long. RefSeq lists it as uncharacterized. The transcript has 2 exons. The record is from RefSeq and is a predicted model, not a curated record. NCBI's taxonomy places the organism in Eukaryota, Metazoa, Arthropoda, Malacostraca, Decapoda, Penaeidae.